RNAcentral lists this non-coding RNA (221 nucleotides) under unclassified sequences. Its description in RNAcentral is "IS605-orfB-I RNA". It matches the Rfam family "IS605-orfB-I RNA". The record is from Rfam by way of RNAcentral.
GCCGUAUAAAGAUGUAUUAGAUGCAAGACAAUCUAGCAUUUCCCUUUACGGCAUUGUAGUAAAAUUAGAAGUUCAAGCAAAAGAAAUUGUUGCCUGGUUAAUAAUCGAAACAAUUUGAGUUUGAAUGGAAGAGGUUAACCGUAUGACCUUGUGUUGAAAAACACUAAAAAUAAUCUUUAAAUAGCGAUUUCUGAAUCUUCGCUAUUUUGAGUUACGGUCAU